GAUGAACGCUGGCGGCGUGCCUAAUACAUGCAAGUCGAGCGAACAGACGAGGAGCUUGCUCCUCUGACGUUAGCGGCGGACGGGUGAGUAACACGUGGAUAACCUACCUAUAAGACUGGGAUAACUUCGGGAAACCGGAGCUAAUACCGGAUAAUAUAUUGAACCGCAUGGUUCAAUAGUGAAAGACGGUUUUGCUGCCACUUAUAGAUGGAUCCGCGCCGCAUUAGCUAGUUGGUAAGGUAACGGCUUACCAAGGCAACGAUGCGUAGCCGACCUGAGGGGGUGAUCGGCCACACUGGAACUGAGACACGGUCCAGACUCCUACGGGAGGCAGCAGUAGGGAAUCUUCCGCAAUGGGCGAAAGCCUGACGGAGCAACGCCGCGUGAGUGAUAAAGGUCUUCGGAUCGUAAAACUCUGUUAUUAGGGAAGAACAAAUGUGUAAGUAACUAUGCACGUCUUGACGGUACCUAAUCAGAAAGCCACGGCUAACUACGUG
This 497-nucleotide ribosomal RNA is filed under the name uncultured bacterium. Its description in RNAcentral is "partial 16S ribosomal RNA". It matches the Rfam family "Bacterial small subunit ribosomal RNA", at positions 28 to 507 of the family's 1533-position model. The record is from RNAcentral.